Molecule: long non-coding RNA, 463 nt
Organism: Calidris pugnax (ruff)
Lineage: Eukaryota; Metazoa; Chordata; Aves; Charadriiformes; Scolopacidae
Exons: 3
Source: RefSeq, a predicted model, not a curated record
CUGUGACCCCAAAGAACUUCAUCUUCUGUAUAUGAGGUCCUAGCUUGACACGUCAUUCCUACAGAAACAGAGACAAGAACAUGACACACUAACGUGAGCAAGCAGACAACAAGGCACAUCGAACAAAAAAUAGGAGUCAGUCUGUCCAUCAUUGAUGAGGACAGGGAAAGGAAAAAUAUCAGCUGAUUGCUUGUCAAAGCAUUCUCAUGGAUUAUCUGUGCUUCGAAAGGAACCUGCAGCACUAAGCUGCAGGCUACACCACUGCUUUUGUUGCCUGGCUGCUGUUCUUUCUGUGGGCACCCAAAUUGGUUGGCAACGUGUGAUCUUUGCUCCGAGAUCAUGAGGCUCUGCAUGAGCUGUAUGAACCAGUAUCUAAACCUGACAUUUUCCAAAAGUUUAAUCAAAUACAAUUGCCUAGACAGAAAAUGUGCACAUUUGCACAAAGCGCUGCCUGAAUGACUUA